AGGAUUAACGCUGGCGGCGUGCCUAACACAUGCAAGUCGAACGAGGUAGCAAUACCUAGUGGCAGACGGGUGAGUAACGCGUGGUCAACCUACCGUUGAGUGGGGGAUAACUAGCCGAAAGGUUAGCUAAUACCGCAUACGAGUCUCGGGGGCAUCCCUGGGCCUUAAAAGGAGCAAUCCGCUCGAUGACGGGACCGCGUCCCAUUAGCUAGAUGGUGGGGUAAUGGCCUACCAUGGCUCCGAUGGGUAGCUGGUUUGAGAGAGCGACCAGCCACACUGGGACUGAGAAACGGCCCAGACUCCUACGGGAGGCAGCAGUGAGGAAUUUUCCGCAAUGGGCGAAAGCCUGACGGAGCGACGCCGCGUGUGGGAAGAAGGCCUUCGAGUCGUAAACCACUGUCGAAGGGGACGAUAAUGACGGUACCCUUGGAGGAAGCCCCGGCUAACUACGCGCCAGCAGCCGC
Molecule: ribosomal RNA, 464 nt
Filed under: uncultured bacterium
Lineage: Bacteria
Description: SSU rRNA
Rfam family: Bacterial small subunit ribosomal RNA
Source: RNAcentral